This is an RNA transcript of Aethalodelphis obliquidens (Pacific white-sided dolphin), 591 nucleotides long. It is a transcript of the gene named peptidyl-prolyl cis-trans isomerase A pseudogene, with no coding region annotated. The record is from RefSeq and is a predicted model, not a curated record. NCBI's taxonomy places the organism in Eukaryota, Metazoa, Chordata, Mammalia, Artiodactyla, Delphinidae. The transcript has a single exon.
AUGGUCAACCCCACCGUGUUCUUCAACAUCGCUAUGGAUGGCAAGCCCUUGGGCCGCAUCUCCUUGGAGCUGUUUGCAGACAAAUUUCCAAAGACAGAAGAGAACUUCCAUGCUCUGAGCACUGAGGAGAAAGGAUUUGGUUAUAAAGGUUCCCGUUUUCACAGAAUAAUUCCGGGAUUUAUGUGCCAGGGUGGUGACUUCAGAUGCCAUAAUGGCACUGGUGGCAAGUCCAUCUAUGGGGAGAAAUUUGAUGAUGAGAAUUUCCUCCUGAAGCAUACGAGUCCUGGCAUCUUGUCCAUGGCAAAUGCUGGCCCCAACACAAAUGGUUCCCAGUUUUUCAUCUGCACUGCCAAGACUGAGUGGUUGGAUGGCAAGCAUGUGGUCUUUGGCAAGGUAAAGGAGCACAUGAAUAUUGUGGAAGCCAUGGAGUGCUCUGGGUCCAGAAAUUGCAAGACCAGCAAGAAGAUCACCAUUGCUGACUGUGGACAAAUCUAAUAAAUUUGACUUGUGUUUUAUCUUAACCACCAGACCAUUCCUUCUGUAGCUCAGGAGAGCACCCCUUCAACCUCAUCUGCUCAAAAUAUCCUAUAA